GUGAGGAAUAUUGCGCAAUGGAGGCAACUCUGACGCAGCCAUGCCGCGUGCAGGAAGAAGGCGCUACGCGUUGUAAACUGCUUUUAACCGGGAAGAAACCCCAGGACGUGUCCUGGGUUGACGGUACCGGAGGAAUAAGCACCGGCUAACUUCGUGCCAGCAGCCGCGGUAAUACGAAGGGUGCAAGCGUUAUCCGGAUUCAUUGGGUUUAAAGGGUGCGUAGGCGGAGCGUUAAGUCAGUGGUGAAAUCCUGCAGCUUAACUGUAGACUUGCCAUUGAUACUGGCGCUCUUGAGUGCGCUUGAAGUGGGCGGAAUGUGCCGUGUAGCGGUGAAAUGCUUAGAUAUGGCACAGAACACCAAUUGCGAAGGCAGCUCACUAAGGCGAUACUGACGCCGAGGCACGAAAGCGUGGGGAUCGAACAGGAUUAGAUACCCGAGUAGUCC
RNAcentral lists this ribosomal RNA (445 nucleotides) under uncultured bacterium. Its description in RNAcentral is "partial 16S ribosomal RNA". It matches the Rfam family "Bacterial small subunit ribosomal RNA", at positions 354 to 796 of the family's 1533-position model. The record is from RNAcentral.